Molecule: non-coding RNA, 421 nt
Organism: Callorhinchus milii (elephant shark)
Lineage: Eukaryota; Metazoa; Chordata; Chondrichthyes; Chimaeriformes; Callorhinchidae
Source: the annotation of a RefSeq genome assembly
GCGGAUGGGAAGAUUCACCUCGUUAAUCCAAGGCAGCACCGAGCUCCGCAUAAUGUUCCUACUUUACAGUCUGUUCGUGACGAUAGUUUUGCUCCAUGGAAGUUUUGCUCAGAAAGUGAAUCAGUACCCAAGAUCGUUUACUAAACCUGCGGGGAGAACGAUCAGAAUGAAAUGCGAUAUCAAGAGCUCAGAGACUGUUCACUGGUACCAGUCUAAACCCAACAAACCGAUAACACGGAUACUUUAUCGGGCUAACUCCAAAGCUCAGCUGGACGAGGAGACCCCUGGCAGGUUCUCAACAGAGGCGCCCAGCAGUAACCAGCAGGUCCUUGUUAUUAACAACGUCUUAGAGGUCGAUUCUGCCACCUAUUACUGCGCCUACUGGGAUUCCACAGUGCUGAAGAACCACACAUACGCUUAA